UCCUCCAGAGAACCACUGGCCACGUCUCCUCAAAAGUUUUCAACCAUUUGAUUUGCUAUCGAGUGGCUCAGAAACGUUGUAGCUGAUUCAGCUGAUUCUGUCAUGAAUUACCUGCUCCUGUGAUUUCUUAUUGCGUAGCCACCCAGACAAAUAUUUGUGUCUGCCUUCCUGGCUUUCUUUUCCCCACGCCUUUCUUCCUGAUACUUCUCAUCUCCUUCCCAACUCUUCCCGUCUCCAGAAUCGCGCCGAGCGCCGCAUCCGUUCCCGCCUCCAUCCUCACUGUCGCCCUCAGCGAGGCCGCGCUCGGCAGUGCCGUCGUCGUUCCCCACCAACGUCGUCGCUGCCGACCACUGUGACGCCCUCUCCGGUCUUGGGUCGGCACAAACCCGACCUAGGGUUUCGGCCCUUCAUCAGGUGGUAGCAGCAGCACCGACGGCCCCCUCCCUUAUCCUCCACCCCGCGUGGCGUAGCCCUGUGACAUGGCUCCUCGCAGGGCGUGACGCGGGUGGCGUGGGUCCCAUGCGGCGGCGCGACUUGGGCAGACAUCAUCGUUGGCCACGGUCGUCUCUUUCCAUGUGAGCUCCUGCACACAGGCGGCGCGGCUCUGCUCUCCCUCGAUCCAUCCACACGUUGGUUUACUCUCCCUCUUUCCCUUCCUCCCUCCCUCCCCCUCUCUCCUAAUGUGGGAUAUGCAUGGAUGCAGGUUCGAUUUCACCGUAGAUGUGGUGUUUUAAUUCUAUUCUCCCACCAAUCUACACAUGGUUAUUGUGAAUUGUUGUUGUUAUUAACCCCUAGAAUACCCGUGGAGCUCCUCCAGAGAACCACUGGCCAUGUCUCCUCAAAAGUUUUCAGCACUUUGAUUCACUAUCCUGUGGUUCAUAAACGUUGUAGCUGAUUGAGAUGAUUCUGUCACGAUACCUGCUCCUAUGAUUUGCUAUGUUCCUUUGGGUUUACUUUCUGCUUAUGCUUGAUUUUUACAGCUUCUGCUGUAAGUCCUGAACUCUAAGCACAUGAGCAUGCCCACUAAUAUUGGUUUCACACUAUCUGUACUGCAGUACUGAAGUUUUUGGGUUCAUUGUUUCCAUUUCAGCCAUGUGCGAUGAUGAGUAUGAUUUACAUCUACAAUUAAAGGAAUGGGCUACUGCUAUGAUGAUUGCACCAUAAUUUAGGUUUAUUUGUGUUCAACAUAAUAAUCAUUAUGUAGCUUUCCAUAGGUUACAUCUUGAUGUUUUUAGAUGCCUGAGGCAAUGCUCGUGACCUAAGAUCAGUCUUCCUCUUACAUUGUUUUUCUAUAUUGACAACUUACGCAAUCACCAUGGCCAGUGUUGGUGCUAUUUUUGCCAACUCUUUCUAGCUGUCCCAUGAUAGCAGAGGCAAUGGUCAAUUGGUUGUCUAGGUUUUCUUGCAUCUAUUCCUACCUCAUCUGUUUUGUUUACUUGGUACACAUCAAUAAGAGAUAAUACUGAUUGCCUGUCACAUACUAUGCGGCUGAAAUUUGCUCUUGGUUAUGAGAUCUGAGGUUGCGUUGCCAUUGCCUGUGAUAAUUUCUUUCUUUGCCUGUUUGUUACCUAUGAGCAUUGUCUAUGAUGACAUACUAUUGCUUUUGAGCACAUGCCCUAUCCCGAUGAUUACAUUGGCAUACACUUUGGUUGUGUGCAGUCACUUUUAGUUUACCUAUUUCUUUCAUUUUUUUGGGGUAUGAAUCUUGUGCUUUGUUGUGCUCUAAUUGCUUAUAUCUUGGUCCAAUUAAUGUUUUUGUUGAUAUUUUUGCGAACAUUGGUGAUGCUUGGCUGGUACUUGGUAAGAAAACACCUUAUGUAUCUUUUUUGACCUAGAGCAGUAUGAUAUAUAUUUGUUGCUUAUGUAAGAAGAGGGUGGCAAAAUCGUGACACGCAUCAAUGGCAUGACUAUUGACGUCACAAUUGAGAGGAUUGAGCAAAUCCUUGGCCUUCCACGCGGAACUGAGGAGGGAAAGAGUGUGACUUUGCCGACAUCUGCACCCAACCAAGUUAUUGAUUUGUUCUUGCAGCAUGGCAAAAGCAAAAAGGCCAUCCCAUCAGCAAAAAAGCCCACUCUUAAAAAUAUGGCUAUUGGUGCAGCUGACUUACUAGAUUUGAUGGAGGUUGUUGACACAAAAAUGAAAGUUAGGUGCUUUCUGAUGAUCGUAUUGAACAAGUUCUUGAUUCCGUCGAGUGGCUCUCAUCUAAAUGACAGGCAGGCUCAAAUUGCUUGGGACCUUGAUUCUGUAGUAAAAAUUGAUUGGUGCAAACUGGUAUUUGAGGACUUGAAAGAUUGCAUAAAGAACAGGCAUGACGACAACAACAAUUGUUCUGGUUGUUCAAUUGUUCUAUUGAUUGCUGUCUUCGAGGCUUUAGUGCCAUCUAAAUGUCCAACGACAGAACCAUCUGUCAUUGGUUACGACGAUGAAAAGUUGAAACUACUUCUUGAACAAAUUAGAGACAAGGUUGGUGUCAAGAAAGAACGUGGCAUUGAUGUUAGCAACAAAGCUCAGCCCACGGAGCAAAAUAGGUCUUUUCUGGAGUUUGAAGAGGAAAUUCAUGCAAUUAUGAAGGAAAUGGCUGAUCAUCUUGAUGAUGUGAAAUGUAUGGUGCCAGACGGAAAACGGGAAUCAAUUCAGUGCAGCCUCGGAACCUUCAAUACACUCACAAAGAGAAAGAAUUGCUGGAACCAAACACAAGUACAAAAUCACUGGACGCGGAGCUUACGGAGCUUACGGAAGAAAAAGUAAAGGAUGUUACAAAGGUUUUGCUCUUUUCUAUUAUAUUUUUAUUUGAUUUAGUUGAUUCUGUCAAUGGAGCUCCCUGAAACCCUGAAUUUGACAAGUUUUUUUCAGAUAUUUAUGCCCGUAAAUGUAACAAAAGUGCACUGGAUAUUAGUUGUGAUGGACUUUCAAAAAAGUGAAGUGCAAAUCCUAGACUCCUUGAAAUCAAAUACUUAUGUUGCCCCUGCUUAUCUAGUGACAACAUCGCUGGAGAUGUAUUUAAUGAUCAAAUUCGGCCUUGCUACUGGCUUUCCUAAGAGGAGGAACUUAGACUUGACAGAGCAGACAAACACAUGUGACUGUGGGCUCCAUGUCCUCUUAUACAUUCAGCGCUAUGGGUGCAGUGACAUGUAUGGAAUUGAUGAGGUUAGUAACAUGCUUGUUAAGUAACAGUGUGAUUUGUUUUUAUUUUACAAAAUAUACUUGUGCCUUUAAAUGUAGGAACAAAUUUUACGUUACCGUAAGCAGCUUGCUUAUGAGCUCAAGCACGAAUCCAAUGAUCAUCCUUCCACAUCAACCCUGCACAUUGAUGAAUCACCA
Sorghum bicolor (sorghum) is the source of this 3322-nucleotide RNA transcript. It is a transcript of the gene named ubiquitin-like-specific protease 1, with no coding region annotated. The transcript has 6 exons. Lineage: Eukaryota; Viridiplantae; Streptophyta; Magnoliopsida; Poales; Poaceae. The record is from RefSeq and is a predicted model, not a curated record.